This is a non-coding RNA of Schistosoma mansoni, 45 nucleotides long. The record is from Rfam. NCBI's taxonomy places the organism in Eukaryota, Metazoa, Platyhelminthes, Trematoda, Strigeidida, Schistosomatidae.
AAACCGGCCCUCUUUAGGGCCACAACCAUGUGAUUUGCCUAUCUU